Non-coding RNA from Cyanistes caeruleus (blue tit), 471 nucleotides. Lineage: Eukaryota; Metazoa; Chordata; Aves; Passeriformes; Paridae. The record is from RefSeq and is a predicted model, not a curated record.
GCUCUGUGCUGUCACUGAAGGUCGCCUCUGCACAUUGCAGUCAGAAAAUGGAGAUAAUUUCUCUAGGAUAUAUUUCUCUAAGGUGGUCAAAAUCCUGGUUUUCUGGAGAGCAGGAGUUGCUGAUACUCAUGUGAAAAUGUUAACAUCCUGAUGAUAACAGCUCUGCCAAAGCCAUUCACCAUAUUUUGCCUAAGUCUGGCAAGAAUGGGGGAACUGAAAAGCAAAUUGCUAAUCUUAGUGAGGGGAACAGGUUUUUUUGGUUACCCAAAGGUCGUGGUAAAACAGAAAUAAAGAAUUAAGGACUAAAGGGAAGCUGUACCCUGAAGGAUGUAAGCAGAUGCUGUUGCCCUGGUGAUUGCUCGUUGGAGUCUGGAUUGCACUGGGCCUGCAUUCCUGACUUCUCCUUAGGCCCUUGCAUUUCUGUAGACAGCUCAUAUGGACAAAGGCCACAAAUUAAAUGCAAAGAAAUGA